This 377-nucleotide ribosomal RNA is filed under the name uncultured eukaryote. RNAcentral's name for it is "partial 18S ribosomal RNA". It matches the Rfam family "Eukaryotic small subunit ribosomal RNA", at positions 592 to 976 of the family's 1831-position model. The record is from RNAcentral.
CAAUAGCGUAUAUUUAAGUUGCUGCAGUUAAAAAGCUCGUAGUUGGAUUUCGGGUGGGAAUGGCCGGUCCGCCGUUUCGGUGUGCACUUGCUACGCCCACCUUGCUGCCGGGGACGUGCUCUUGAGUUCACGCUCGGGACACGGAGUCGGCGAGGUUACUUUGAGUAAAUUAGAGUGUUCAAAGCAGGCCUACGCUCUGAAUACAUUAGCAUGGAAUAACACGAUAGGACUCUGGCCUAUCUUGUUGGUCUGUAGGACCGGAGUAAUGAUUAAGAGGGACAGUCGGGGGCACUCGUAUUUCAUUGUCAGAGGUGAAAUACUUGGAUUUAUGAAAGACGAACUACUGCGAAAGCAUUUGCCAAGGAUGUUUUCAUUAA